RNAcentral lists this ribosomal RNA (491 nucleotides) under uncultured bacterium. Its description in RNAcentral is "bacterial SSU rRNA". It matches the Rfam family "Bacterial small subunit ribosomal RNA", at positions 29 to 507 of the family's 1533-position model. The record is from RNAcentral.
AUUGAACGCUGGCGGCAGGCCUAACACAUGCAAGUCGAGCGGAAACGAUCCUAGCUUGCUAGGAGGCGUCGAGCGGCGGACGGGUGAGUAACGCGUGAGAAUCUACCCAUGAGUGGGGGACAACCCGGGGAAACUCGGGCUAAUACCGCAUACGCCCUACGGGGUAAAGCAGGGGACCUUCGGGCCUUGCGCUGAUGGAUGAGCUCGCGUCGGAUUAGCUUGUUGGUGAGGUAAAGGCUCACCAAGGCGACGAUCCGUAGCUGGUCUGAGAGGAUGAUCAGCCACACCGGGACUGAGACAACGGCCCGGACUCCCUACGGGAGGCAGCAGUCGGGGAAUCUUGGACAAUGGGGGCAACCCUGAUCCAGCCAUGCCGCGUGUGUGAAGAAGGCCUUCGGGUUGUAAAGCACUUUCAGCAGGGAGGAAGGCUUACCCCUAAUACGGGUGAGUACUUGACGUUACCUGCAGAAGAAGCACCGGCUAAUUUCGUG